UCUUCCGCCUAAUUUUUUUCUUGCGUAGUAUUGAUGUUUCAAAAGAUGUCGCUUAGAUAUUUGGAAUAUGAUAUCGUAUAGUUUAUACGCUUUAAAAAUUUACAACCGUGUAACAAAAUACUUUACGUUGUAAGAGUUAUCUCCCCAAACACUGUUUUUCUUGUGGCCACUACUCCUUCGCAACCGUUAAAGAUUACGACAAAUUUAUUUUACCAAAUUGCUCGUUACAUCUUCAGGAUUAGGAUAUUCAUUUGGACCGAAGCUUUACGGAGACUCCAUAUGAGAGUUAUUCCCCCUUUUCCAUUUAAUUAAGUGAUAUGCAUUUCUAAAUGGUAAACCAUAAGUGAUAGAGACAUAGGGUCUUUAGAUUUGAAGUCCUUGGUCCAAAAAAAUAAAAAGUAGGUCAAGGUCAAGGUCAAAGGUCAAGGUCAUAUUCUAAAUUUUGAUUUUGGCUUAUUUUCACUUAUUUUCAAAUACCGUAUGACAUUUCGACAAAUAUUUUUUCAUAAAUUGUUAGUUGCGACAUGUCCUUACUUGUAUAUUUUGGUUGAAAGGGUGCGCAGACAAUAAAUUGGAGUUUUUGUCCAUCUUACAUUUAGAAUUACGCGUAAAGUGAUAUUACUCAUUAACCAAACAUAUUAAAGACCUAGGGUCUUUUGAUUUAAGGUCCUUGGUUUGUGACCUUGAAAUUGAGGUCAAGGUCAUAGGUUAAUACGACGUUCUAGAUUUUGACCUUUGCUUUAAAUUCAUAUAAAUACAUCAUAAAGCCAUAGGAACUAACAUUUUAAACUGAUUUUUCAUAUUUCAAUAUCAAAAUAGAUCUUUACUAGUGGAAAGACCUACAAUUGUUCUCUGAACAAUUGGUUUUUAAUUAUUAUUAUUAUUAUUAAUAUAUUUUUUUUUUCCGCCUAAUUUUUUUCUAUUUGUUUUUUUGUUUCAAAAGACAUUUCGACAAAUAUUUUUUCAUAAAUUGUUAGUUGCGACAUGUCCUUACUUGUAUAUUUUGGUUGAAAGGGUGCGCAUACAAUAAAUUGGAGUUUUUGUCCUUCUUACAUUUAGAAUUACGCGUAAAGUGAUAUUACUCAUUAACCAAACAUAUUAAAGACCUAGGGUCUUUUGAUUUAAGGUCCUUGGUUUGUGACCUUGAAAUUGAGGUCAAGGUCAUAGGUUAAUAGGACGUUCUAGAUUUUGACCUUUGCUUUAAAUUCAUAUUAAUACAUCAUAAAGCCAUAGGAACUAACAUUUUAAACUGAUUUUUCAUAUUUCAAUAUCAAAAUAGAUCUUUACUAGUGGAAAGACCUUCAAUUGUUCUCUGAACAAUUGGUUUUUAAUUAUUGUUUUUUUUUUCUUCCGCCUAAUUCUUUUUCUUGCGUAGCAUAUUGAUGUUUCAAAAGAUGUCGCUUAGAUAUUUGGAAUAUGAUAUCGUAUAGUUUAUACGCUUUAAAAAUUUACAACCGCGUAACAAAAUACUUUACGUUGUAAGAGUUAUCUCCCCAAACACUGUUUUUCUUGUGGCCACUACUCCUUCGCAACCGUAAAAGAUUACGACAAAUUUAUUUUACCAAAUUGCUCGUUACAUCUUCAGGAUUAGGAUUUUCAUUUUGGACCGAAGCUAUCCGGAGACUCCAUAUGAGAGUUAUUCCCCCUUAUGUAUUUGAUAUAGGUGAUAUGCGUUUCUAACUGGUAAACCAUAAGUGAUAGAGACCUAGGGUCUCUUGAUUUGAGAUCCUUGGUCCAAAAAAAUGAAAAUAAGGUCAAGGUCAAAGGUCAAGGUCAUAUUCUAAAAUUUGAUUUUGGCUUAUUUUCACUUAUUUUCAAAUACCGUAUGACAUAUCGACAAAUAUUUUUUCCUAAAUUGUUAGUUGCGACAUGUCCUUACUUGUAUAUUUUGGUUGAAAGGGUGCGCAUACAAUAAAUGGGAGUUUUUGUCCAUCUUACAUUUAGAAUUACGCGUAAAGUGGUAUUACUCAUUAACCAAACAUAUUAAAGACCUAGGGUCUUUUGAUUUAAGGUCCUUGGUUUGUGACCUUGAAAUUGAGGUCAAGGUCAUAGGUUAAUAGGACGUUCUAGAUUUUGACCUUUGCUUUAAAUUCAUAUAAUACAUCAUAAAGCCAUAGGAACUAACAUUUUAAACUGAUUUUUCAUAUUUCAAUAUCAAAAUAGAUCUUUACUAGUGGAAAGACCUUCAAUUGUUCUCUGAACAAUUGGUUUUUAAUUAGGUCUUUCCACCUUUCCGUGGAAAGACCUAUAGGUUUUGUUCUGAUUAUUAUUUUUUUUUUUCUUCCGCCUAAUUUUUUUCUUGCGUAGUAUUGUUGUUUCAUAAGAUGUCGCUUAGAUAUUUGGAAUAUGAUGAUAUCGCAUAGUUUAUACGCUUUAAAAACUGACAACCGCGUAACCAAAAUACUUUACGUUGUAAGAGUUAUCUCCCCAAACACUGUUUUUCUUGUGGCCACUACUCCUUCGCAACCGUAAAAGAUUACGACAAAUUUAUUUUACCAAAUUGCUCGUUACAUCUUCAGGAUUAGGAUUGGCUGUUUUGUACCGAAGCUUCCUAUGGAGACUCCAUAUGAGAGUUAUUCCCCUUAUGUAUUUAGUAUAAGUGAUAUGCAUUUUCUAACUGGUAAACCAUAAGUGAUAGAGACCUAGGGUCUUCGGAUUUGAGGUCCUUGGUCCAAAAAAAUGAAAAUAAGGUCAAGGUCAAAGGUCAAGGUCAUAUUCUAAAAUUUUGAUUUUGGCUUAUUUUCACUUAUUUUCAAAUACCGUAUGACAUAUCGACAAAUAAUUUUUCAUAAAUUGUUAGUUGCGACAUGUCCUUACUUGUAUAUUUUGGUUGAAAGGGUGCGCAUACAAUAAAUGGGAGUUUUUGUCCAUCUUACAUUUAGAAUUACGCGUAAAGUGGUAUUACUCAUUAACCAAACAUAUUAAAGACCUAGGGUCUUUUGAUUUAAGGUCCUUGGUUUGUGACCUUGAAAUUGAGGUCAAGGUCAUAGGUUAAUAGGACGUUCUAGAUUUUGACCUUUGCUUUAAAUUCAUAUUAAUACAUCAUAAAGCCAUAGGAACUAACAUUUUAAACUGAUUUUUCAUAUUUCAAUAUCAAAAUAGAUCUUUACUAGUGGAAAGACCUUCAAUUGUUCUCUGAACAAUUGGUUUUUAAUUAUUAUUAUUUUUUUUUUUCUUCCGCCUAACUUUUUUCUUGCGUAUUAUUGAUGUUUCAAAAGAUGUCGCUUAGAUAUUUGGAAUAUGAUAUCGUAAAGUUUAUACGCUUUAAAAAUUGACAAAGGCGUAACUAAAAACUUUACGUUGUGAGAGUUAUCUCCCCAAACACUGUUUUUCUUGUGGCCACUACUCCUUCGCAACCGUAAAAGAUUACGACAAAUUUAUUUUACCAAAUUGCUCGUUACAUCUUCAGGAUUAGGAUUUUAGUUUUAACCGAAGCUAUCCGGAAACUCCAUAUGAGAGUUAUCCCCCCUUUUGUAUAUGAUAUAAGUGAUAUGCAUUUCUAACUGGUAAACCAUAAGUGAUAGAGACCUAGGGUCUUUUGAUUUAAGAUCCUUGGUCCAAAAAAAUGAAAAAUAGGUCAAGGUCAAAGGUCAAGGUCAAAUUCUAAAUUUCGAUUUUGGCUUAUUUUCACUUAUUUUCAUUAACCUUAUUAGAUAUCGACAAAUUAUUUUUACUAAAUUGUUAGUUACGACAUGUCAUAACUUAUAAAUUUUGGUUGAAAGGGUGCGUAGACAAAAAAUUGGAGUUUUCGCCCCUCUUAUAUUUAGAAUUAUGUGUAAAGUGAUAUUACUCAUGAACCAUACAUAUUAAGGAACUACUGUCUUUUGAUUUGAGAUGUUUAGUCUAAUACCUUGAAAUUGAGGUCAAGGUCAUAGGUUAAUUGGACGUUCUAGAUUUUGACCUUUGCUCGAAAUUCAUAUUUAUACAUCAUUUAGCCAUAGGAACUGACAUUUUCAACUGAAUUUUAAUAUUUUCAUAUCAAAAUAGAUCUUUAUUAGUUGAAAGACCUUCAAUUGUUCUCUGAACAAUUGGUUUUUAAUUAUUAUUUUUUUUUUCUUCCGCCAACUUUUUGUUCCUCUGCAAUUUUUUUGUUUCGCAAGAUGUCGCUUAGACAUAUGGUAUAUGAUAUCGAACAGUUAUUACGCUUUUGUAAACUGACAACCGUGUAACCAAAAUCUUUCCCUUAUAAGAGUUAUCUCCCCGAACACUGUUUUUCUUGUUAUUGUGUAAUCUUCACAACCGUAUAAGAAACCGACAAAUUUAUUUUUGCAAAUUGCUCAUUACAUCUUCAGGAUGUGCUGUUUUAUUUUGACCGAAGCCGUAUAGAGAUUCCAUAUGAGAGUUAUUUCCCCUUUUGUAUUUGAAAUUUUGAAAUGUAUUUUAAACUGGAAAACCAUAAGUGAUAGAGACCUAGGGUCUUUUGAUUUGAGAUCCUUGGUCCAAAAAAAUGAAAAUUAGGUCAAGGUCAAAGGUCAAGGUCAUAUUCUAAAUUUUGAUUUUGGCUUAUUUUCACUCAUUUUCAUUUACCUUAUCAGAUAUCG
This 4541-nucleotide long non-coding RNA is filed under the name Mytilus galloprovincialis (Mediterranean mussel). Lineage: Eukaryota; Metazoa; Mollusca; Bivalvia; Mytilida; Mytilidae. The record is from RNAcentral.